Molecule: long non-coding RNA, 1542 nt
Organism: Lagopus leucura (white-tailed ptarmigan)
Lineage: Eukaryota; Metazoa; Chordata; Aves; Galliformes; Phasianidae
Exons: 4
Source: RefSeq, a predicted model, not a curated record
GUGUCGUACAGCUGCUUUAUGAAUACCUGAUGAUAACCCAUGAAAAGAUUCAUCCCCGUGCCGGCAGGUAUGGAUUUAAUACGGAGCUGUAUCCCGAAUCUCCCCAACACACCCUCCGGUGAUACUGCAAAUACAGCCGUGAGGCUGCUUCCAUUCCAACUGCCUCUUUGCACCCCAGUAGUGUAUAUACCAGAAGCCAAAACUGUGAUCAGAAUGUAUUCCUGAGGCUUUCUGCAAUCUUGGAAAGUCUCUAAGCUAUUCUGAUUUCAGAAUCCCCCUCCUCAGUAAUCAGAGAGAAAGCUUUCAGAUGACAUGUCUAUUCAAGGCAAGGCUCUGACAACGUCCUUCAUGGCGACAUCUAAGUUAAUUAGACCACUUUCAGAAGACAGGAUUGCAUUUUGUAUUUCUGCACUUCUACAGUCGCACAAGUACAGGUGAAAGCAACGUUCCUGCAAAGCAUCGUUCUCCCCACAUACAAACCUGCGUGGGAGCACGUUACUGAGGGCUGAGUCCAACUCUGCUUUUCAGGAAACUAUCUUAUGCUUCCAAUACUUGGACUUUUAGUUCUUUUAUGCACUUAGAAGUCUGCACCAACACGAUAUUCACCUGAAUUUAGUAGUCCAUCAAAAAAAAAGCAAGGAUCCACUUGCCAACUGCUUACAUCAUAAAGCCAAAAGUUACUAGAAGUACAAAGGAAAGGGAGUUGGGACAAAAUUAUUAUUUAAAAAAAAACAUUCAAAAUGUUCUGUAGUAAGGUUAAUAGGUAAUAGCUUCUGUACUUAAUAGGCUUCUAAAAUGAAAUAAUAACGUGUUCCACUUUCUCACAGGAUACUCAGAAUUUAAUAUUUGUGAAUUCCUUCAAUGUUAAAACACACCACCAUCUGUAAAACAAAUCCAGUCAGUCACUUUCUUCAAAGUGAUGUAACUUCUUGAGAGGUAAUCUGCAAUAUUUUUUUUGUUAUAAAUAAAACAUCUAUUCCAGAUUUACAAAAGGCUCUUAAAAAAAGGCUUCAAAUUUAACUUUCUCCUUAGAUAAUGUAGAAAUAAGAGGGGAAAAAAAACUAUAAAAUAAGUAGGGUUAAAAGUAGUAACAGUGAAAGGAGACACAAAAAGCUUCCAGGACAUGUAUUUAAAACUUGUAUAUUUACUGCCAUGAACAAAGACUGUGGCUAUACUGAGGAGAGGUGGAAUAAAGAGAAAAUACUGAUCUACAUAUAGACUGGUUUUAUAUUUAUCCUGAAAAUACACCAAUUACAUCAGAACAAACAAAACCCAAGAAAUCAGAAGUUGUAACUUUUGAGCACAUCUGAUUACCACAUGCUGUAUGAGAGGGAAAAAAAAAAUCAACAUACGUAGAUGGCAACUGAAACACUUUUCUAUGGGGAAGGAAGUCACAUUGAAGACAUGCUACAUGAAGCAAUUAAACACUUAGAGAAUAAGCAACUCCAAAUUUGAGAAAACAGACUUUUUUUGUUAAGUGGUAGUUACUUAUUGAUUGAAGCACUUUUGCCAUGCAAGUAGUAUUUUUCCUAAGUUCUAAAC